UUUACGGAGAGUUUGAUCCUGGCUCAGGACGAACGCUGGCGGCGUGCUUAACACAUGCAAGUCGAACGGUGAUGCGGAGCUUGCUCCGCGGAUCAGUGGCGAACGGGUGAGUAACACGUGAGUAACCUGCCCUGGACUCUGGGAUAAGCGUUGGAAACGACGUCUAAUACCGGAUAUGACUUCGGAACGCAUGUUCUGGAGUGGAAAGAAUUUCGGUCUGGGAUGGACUCGCGGCCUAUCAGCUUGUUGGUGGGGUGAUGGCCUACCAAGGCGACGACGGGUAGCCGGCCUGAGAGGGUGACCGGCCACACUGGGACUGAGACACGGCCCAGACUCCUACGGGAGGCAGCAGUGGGGAAUAUUGCACAAUGGGCGCAAGCCUGAUGCAGCAACGCCGCGUGAGGGAUGACGGCCUUCGGGUUGUAAACCUCUUUUGGCAGGGAAGAAGCGAAAGUGACGGUACCUGCAGAAAAAGCACCGGCUAACUACGUGCCAGCAGCCGCGGUAAUACGUAGGGUGCAAGCGUUGUCCGGAAUUAUUGGGCGUAAAGAGCUCGUAGGCGGUUUGUCGCGUCUGCUGUGAAAACGCGAGGCUCAACCUCGCGCCUGCAGUGGGUACGGGCAGACUAGAGUGCGGUAGGGGAGAUUGGAAUUCCUGGUGUAGCGGUGGAAUGCGCAGAUAUCAGGAGGAACACCGAUGGCGAAGGCAGAUCUCUGGGCCGUUACUGACGCUGAGGAGCGAAAGCGUGGGGAGCGAACAGGAUUAGAUACCCUGGUAGUCCACGCCGUAAACGUUGGGAACUAGAUGUGGGGUCCAUUCCACGGAUUCCGUGUCGCAGCUAACGCAUUAAGUUCCCCGCCUGGGGAGUACGGCCGCAAGGCUAAAACUCAAAGGAAUUGACGGGGGCCCGCACAAGCGGCGGAGCAUGCGGAUUAAUUCGAUGCAACGCGAAGAACCUUACCAAGGCUUGACAUGCACCUGAAAAGGCUGGAAACAGUCUCCUCGCAAGACAGGUGCACAGGUGGUGCAUGGUUGUCGUCAGCUCGUGUCGUGAGAUGUUGGGUUAAGUCCCGCAACGAGCGCAACCCUCGUUCUAUGUUGCCAGCGCGUCAUGGCGGGAACUCAUAGGAGACUGCCGGGGUCAACUCGGAGGAAGGUGGGGAUGACGUCAAAUCAUCAUGCCCCUUAUGUCUUGGGCUUCACGCAUGCUACAAUGGCCGGUACAAAGGGCUGCAAUACCGUAAGGUGGAGCGAAUCCCAAAAAGCCGGUCUCAGUUCGGAUUGAGGUCUGCAACUCGACCUCAUGAAGUCGGAGUCGCUAGUAAUCGCAGAUCAGCAACGCUGCGGUGAAUACGUUCCCGGGCCUUGUACACACCGCCCGUCAAGUCAUGAAAGUCGGUAACACCCGAAGCCGGUGGCCCAACCGUUGUGGAGGGAGCCGUCGAAGGUGGGAUCGGUAAUUAGGACUAAGUCGUAACAAGGUAGCCGUACCGGAAGGUGCGGCUGGAUCACCUCCUUUCUAAGGA
This 1526-nucleotide ribosomal RNA is filed under the name Amnibacterium setariae. Its description in RNAcentral is "bacterial SSU rRNA". It matches the Rfam family "Bacterial small subunit ribosomal RNA". Lineage: Bacteria; Bacillati; Actinomycetota; Actinomycetes; Micrococcales; Microbacteriaceae. The record is from RNAcentral.